RNAcentral lists this ribosomal RNA (256 nucleotides) under uncultured bacterium. RNAcentral describes it as "partial 16S ribosomal RNA". It matches the Rfam family "Bacterial small subunit ribosomal RNA", at positions 77 to 334 of the family's 1533-position model. The record is from RNAcentral.
UAAUACUAUUGAUGGCGACCGGCGGACGGGUGUGUAACGCGUAUGCAACCUACCCUUUACAGGGGGAUAACACUGAGAAAUCGGUACUAAUACCCCAUAAUAUUCUGGGAGGCAUCUUUCGGAGUUGAAAGCUUUGGUGGUAAAGGAUGGGCAUGCGUUGUAUUAGCUAGUUGGUAAGGUAACGGCUUACCAAGGCGACGAUACAUAGGGGGACUGAGAGGUUAACCCCCCACAUUGGUACUGAGACACGGACCAA